AGUCCUUUCUGCCCUGUGUCUCGGUGUCUGUGGCGUGAGCCCCCGGUUGACCCCUGCACUCAGUCCAACUUGGGCCAAAUGACCGCCCCUCCUUCUGGCAGUGGGCUGGACCAGCCGGCCAGCGGGAGCCCCCUUGGCAGAGGCCGGUUGUAAAGGAUCAUAAAGUGGGCGGCGUCUGGCUGGGGCGAAGGUCGCUGAGACUGCUCUGUGAACAAGAACAUCUUUGAAGUAGAGGAGAACAAGAAUGUCACCGAGCCGCUGGUGGACAUCCACGUCCCGGAGGGCCAGGAGGUGACCCUCGGACCCUUGUCCACCCCCUUCGCAUUUCGGAUCCAGGGAAACCAGCUGUUUCUCAAUAUGACUCCUGAUUACGAGGAAAACUCACUGCUUGAGGCUCAGCUGCUGUGUCAGAGCGGAGGCACACUG
RNAcentral lists this small RNA (426 nucleotides) under Pongo abelii (Sumatran orangutan). RNAcentral's name for it is "processed transcript". Lineage: Eukaryota; Metazoa; Chordata; Mammalia; Primates; Hominidae. The record is from RNAcentral.